Molecule: ribosomal RNA, 573 nt
Filed under: uncultured bacterium
Lineage: Bacteria
Description: bacterial SSU rRNA
Rfam family: Bacterial small subunit ribosomal RNA
Source: RNAcentral
AGUCGAGCGGCGCGCGGGACUCGGGCAACUGAGCCCUGGCGGCGAGCGGCGAACGGGUGAGUAACACAUCGGAACGUAUCCCGUAGAGGGGGAUAGCCCGGCGAAAGCCGGAUUAAUACCGCAUAUGCUCUACGGAGGAAAGUGGGGGACCUGCAAGGGCCUUACGCUAUGGGAGCGGCCGAUGUCCGAUUAGCUAGUUGGUGGGGUAAAGGCCUACCAAGGCGACGAUCGGUAGCUGGUCUGAGAGGAUGAUCAGCCACACUGGGACUGAGACACGGCCCAGACUCCUACGGGAGGCAGCAGUGGGGAAUUUUGGACAAUGGGGGCAACCCUGAUCCAGCCAUGCCGCGUGCGGGAAGAAGGCCUUCGGGUUGUAAACCGCUUUUAGUCGGGAAGAAAGGGUUCUCCUGAAUACGGAGGAUUUUUGACGGUACCGGCGGAAUAAGCACCGGCUAACUACGUGCCAGCAGCCGCGGUAAUACGUAGGGUGCGAGCGUUAAUCGGAAUUACUGGGCGUAAAGAGUGCGUAUGCGGUUCUCCUAGUCCGUUGUGAAAGCCCCGGGCUCAACCUGG